GGCACAGAGGGCAGCAUCCAUCUGAUUUCAGCAAUUCACACAUUGUUGGGGAAGGAGCCGAAAAUGACUCUUUCUACAUGGAUUUGUAGCUUUUGUUUUGCCCAGCUGCUCAGUCCAACGUGCUUUAGCUGAUGGCAAAGCUUGCAGUGAGCAGAUGCAGCUCUGUUGGCCCCGCGGUGGCAGCUCCCACCGGACGGCAGCAAGUUAUCUCUAUUUUUGUAGGAACUAUUCUCAGUUAAGGAAUAAAUCCCGGCUAAAUUUAAACUUCCUGUUAAGGCUGCUAAAUGUCUUCUUUUUUUUUUUUUCAAGAAAAAAAGUAAAAUGAAGCCACUAAAUGGCUUAUGUAGAAGUACAUACUAAUAAACAUUUAGUCUAAGAGACACAUGCAGGAGUGCACAGGUGGGAACUUGAACUACAGCAGAUAUUUUUCAGAGGUGUGGGCUACCUGUACUUCAUGGGGAAUUUUUAUUGCAUGCAGAGAAGGAUUGCAUGGGAAGUUUUAGCCCCAAACAGGGCUUAAAAAUAGUCAUUUCUAUAGAAAGUCUGUCCAGUUUUAGGUUGCUGCUUCAUAAAUCUUAAUGGUCCAGGGGAAAAAAAGCGUUUUCCAGCUGGAUUUGUCCAGGAAGACAAGUUUUGGUGCCCAGUCAUGGCACACAGAGAUGGAGCCCAGCACCUCUGUUCUCCCCAAGGCUCCCUUCAUGCAGUGCCCCAGCAAAAAUGGGCUGCUCCACACCAGCCUCAAAGCUGAGGUUUAUUUUGGACUGCCAAGGUGUGAAGGUCUGGUGGGAUAAAGGGGAUUGCUGUGGCCAAAUCCAUGCCCGCUGGUGAGUCCCUUCAUCCCCUGCCUGCAAUGCCCUUAUUUCUUGAUGCCCAUUAAAGUUGUGCUAUUUAUUUAUUCACACUCAUGGGGCUGUCAUUUACUCAUUAACACCCCAUGUGAGGCUUUGCUGGACGGCUCAGGGUGUGAGCACAACGCCCAGCAUGCGGUGAGGAUCUGGGUUUGCAGUCACCUGUGCUGCAAGGAGCAAGGGCUGAUGAAAGAGUUAAAUGUGGAAACGAGAGUCAGAAAUACAGCAGUAACUGGACAAAAUUCUUUGGAGACAAAUUGUUCUAAACGAGCUCAGCCUGCGAUGCUGUUAUCUGCUCUGCAAGAAAGGUCAGAGCAGGAAUCUCUCUUUUUUUUUCCCCCCUCUCCUUAUUCUUUUAGUAAGCUCAACAGAAGUGCACAAAGCCCAUUGUGAGUUUCCUCAGAACUUCGUGUCCUUGAACCACGAGCUCGUAGGUACAAUUUAACUGCCACAUCACUUGUCUUGGCCCUGAUUAGACCCAGAUGAACACUUUCAAUAUUAAUACGUGGAUGAUUUAAUAAAGCUGCACGAGCAGUAAAAGUAACAAUACGCUUCCAUAAAGGGGUUCCAGAUGUUGCCAAGGCAAAUGCUAAACAUCAAAAUAUAAACUUCAAAAAAAAAAAAAAGAAAGAAAAAAGAGCUGGAUAAGCAAAACUUGGAACAAACUAUAAACUAAUUAAAUGUGGGUUGAGUUUUCCAAAAAUAAAUUGAAGCCAUAAGGAUGUGAUGUGAGCCAAUAAAUAGUACAGUUAGUCAAAGUUAUUGUGGAACAACAGUUGGAAAGAUGGUUUGAAGUCACCGAUGAGGUGGGCUUGCAGUGAGUUUGGCUUCUUAUCAAUAGGAAGGCUUGUUCUGCUGUGCACGAGAACGGCAUCAAAUCUUCUGCUAUCUAUAACCAGGACCCUGGAGAGGCUACGGGGGGAAGACAAGACCAUCUUCAAGCAGGCAAGGGAAGGGAAAAACUACACCAAAAGUGCCCGCGAGAGCAGCAGUGCUAAUACCACCAUCCAAGCAUCUUGGGACGUCUUUCCUCCUGCCUGCUGCUGCCCACAGGGCAUCCCCACUCUCCUGCAGGGCCCGUUGAAGCACGGCCACCGGGGUGCGAGCGGUAUCGGCGAGGAGCAAACCUGGGUGCGAGGAGGUGAAAGCACGGUGCAUUCGUUACGGGGAAGGAGACAGCGCUUCGCAGCCGAAGCGAUGGCAUGCACAGGCAAUUUGCUUCACUGCAGAGUAGAAUGAGUGGUUUUCAUUCUCAAAUUUUAUCUGCUGGGGUGUUUUGUGACAACCCAACGGCAGAUGGGUGUAAGCAAAGGCACUCAGUGCGAGAUGCUGAGGCACACACUGUCCAUCUUCCUCCCGAGGUGGAAGGGAUCAAGGCUUCUGCCAGGCAGGACCUGCUCAGGUCUCCUCCUUACGCACAUUACGCUCCAUCUUUUGCUAGUAAAUUGCCCUUAAAUUGCACUUAAUAUUCAAGGACGAAGAACAACUGAUCAUUUUGGGGUCAUAAGCACUUCGCAGCGAGGUUUGCCUCCUCCUUUCUGUGUGUCUGCGUGCAUCGGGGCGCAGCUGGUGCUCGGCCAGCAGUUGCACAAGGCUUCCUUGCCGCUCCAGGAGCUCUCUGCAUCGUCUUUCCCCAGCAGGUCAGCCCUGAGCCCAAGACUUUGUGCUGGGGGGAGACAAAUCCCACUCUAACCAGUGGGAUUUGGGAGCUCUGGCAUCUCAGCUGGCACCGCAGCUGCAGGGCUGGGCACAGAGGGUGCACCUGGUGGGAAUGCCCACUGUUUUGGGGGUUCAUAUCAGGGCUGGGAUGUGACAGGGACCCCCGGGCAGGUCGGCGGAUGCAGUUGGAGAUGUGGGCGCAGCACGGGAUGCUGGGCUUGGCCAUGAGUCCUCCAUCCACUCCCAGCUCAGGACCAGGCUUUUCGCCGGGCCCUCGUCCAUGGCUAAUGACAUGACUGCAUAAUAACAGCCGCUCAUAAAAUUAUUAUGAGAACAAACAAAUUCCUUCCCUAUUAUAUACAGUACUUGUUUUUGAGAUUAAAACAGCAGCGGGGCUGAUUUGCUGUGGUUGCUCGCUGACCCACACGUGAGACCUUGAGGAUCUGCCCCCAUUACUUCCGAGCUGCCACGGGCAGGAUGCAGCAGGGCAAUUCCUACAUCCCUGAUUUCCAGGCGAUCCGUACAGGGCCAGACGUCCCCGUUGCAAUUGUUCGGUGUGAUCUGCCCAGCAGGGGCCCUGGGUUUCCUCAUUUGGGGAGCCCAAAUUGAGCUGAGAGAACUCAUCACCCCACUCUCUGCACGUGAGGCUCUCUGGGGACAGCGGCAGCGCGCACACUGCGCUGGGCUCAGGGGAGCAGCUCUGCCCUCAGGUUUGUGGUCCUGCGCAGUCCCGCAGAACAAAUACUGUACUUGGCAGCAGAUGUGUGGAGCGAGGAGCGAGCCAGUAACGUUUCCUGGUGAAUAAAAAGGGGCUGAUUUUGAUUGCAUUAGACAUCAGUGCUUCCCCGUGCCAAAAAGACACACAGUAUACAUUUCUGGUUUAUUUGGACCUUCUUCAAACAGGCUGGUAACUGACUUAUUCUACCACUUAUUUUUUUCUUUGUAAAAAUAACCCUUUAAAUUAAGUGUUUAGCAAAUAAUGCUUAGUCCUAUUACAAAGUAAAUUGGGUAUGGACUGUACCAGCAGACCUCUCAAAUCUCUUUCAGAUGCUUGAAUUACAUCACGAUCAAACUUCACCCCGGGGACAGACGAGCUCUGCUGAAUAUUGUCCAUCCUUCUGCUGUGGCAGUCUCCGUUGUUGCUGGGGUACCUUUUGCAAACUACCUACGUGUCGGCAGAGUGACCUCGUGUUGUUUUGGGACACUGGGUCACUUCAUGGCGAGGUACCUGGAGCCAGCGAGGAGAGGUUUCUCUUCGAUUUUGGUCAGUCAGUGUCUUUGCCUGUGGGUGAGGACAGGGCGAGCGGUUCUCCAUCUGCUCUUGGAGCUGCUCAUCUCCUCUGGCCACCUCCACGUCCAUCUCGUUCGUGCCCAAGGCACUGAGCUGGGCAGGGCACGUUCCCUGCGGGGGACCUCGAGCUCCCUGCCCCAGACCCCGUUCUCCACCCCCGGGGCUGCUGGAGCUGGGUUCGGGGCCGGCCGGGAGGGCUGCGCGGGCGAUUGUCGCCCAUAUUGUGCUCCCGCUUGUGUUUAAAAACAACAACAGCUCAACUGACUCAUAGAUCCUACGGCCUCUGAGUCAUUUCUUAUUUCUGGAUUUCACUGCUCUGCCCUUUGCAAUGAGGGGAGUUGCAUGCACACACACACACACACACACACAUCAAGUUCACAUUUGUUUUUCCCCUAUAAAAACAAAACGAUUUCCAUACCAUUAAUGAAACAGAAAUGACUUGACUUCGCAUACCCUGGCUUUUAUUUUCCAUUGUAUAAACUGUGCAGAUGAAAUAACGAUGGCUGUAAAGUAAACCUUCUCUCUCUCUCUCUUUUUUCUUUCUUUCUUCUGUUUUUUUUUUUUUUUUUCCUUUCCCUUUCCAGGCAGCCUCUUUUCGAAAUAGCAAAGGGAGUCACUUACAGACUUGGCCCCAGCGCUGCGCCUGCUGGGAUUAACCCCUGCGUCCCCAGCUCUGCUCUCUUUGCUGCGAAACCACCGCAGGGCAGAGGCAAUGCCAGCCCCUGCACCGUGCGGGGUGAUGUCCAGGGUGCAAAGGUGGCAGGAUGCAGAGCGGGGCACAGAAUGGGCAGGGAAGCUUGGGGAUGGCAGGGAUGACCAGUGCUGACACCUUGGCCAAAUGUCCACUCUCCUCCAUACCACCCUGCAGCCACAGCCUGCGCUAACUAACCACCAAACCCCACUCUCGCUGCUUACAGGGCUUUUACGCUAUUACAGAGCACCCUGAGGACAAUCAGCGGGGGCAGUGGUGCCGCUUACAGGGGCAGCAGAUGCAGCUGGAGCUGGGUAUGCAAGCACGUGCUUGGGAGAGCAGGACGGGGUGAGCAGCAUGGAGAUGCCCCCUGAGUAUUGCCUGCAGUCUGUGCGUCCUCAAGGCUCACAAGCGCAGCACAACCCCUUUUCCUGUUCAUACAGCUUGCAGCCCCCAGCACCAGGUCAGCCCUUUUGCCAAAAGCCAGUGGCCGGGUGGGUUGGUGACACAGCUGAGAUACUGUUACUCUUCCCGGACUGGGCGAUGUGUUUUAUAUUAUUUCUCUUGGAUUUAUUAAGCAUUAUGUAACCAGCUAACCGAUCCCGCAUGCUACAAAAUCGCUGCUGAUUUCACGUCAGUGGAAAGUAAACAAAAAGCAUUCUGAAGUGGCGGGGCUGAAAUUCAUUUCCACGUUCAAAGCAACCCGUGGAGGAUUUUCCCCAUCUCCUCGCCACCAGUUUGCAUCCAGGCUCUGCUGCAACCCAUCAGAAAAGAGUUAUGGAAAGUUUGCAUGUUGCACACAACAAGGUGUUACAAACAAAUCCUCUCUGCUCACUCUCCGCACGAAGUGAUUAAGAUAAAGGUUAUUUCUCUUAAUUAUUUUUAAGCAUCUUUGUGGAUUUUCUCAUACUCCUUGAAAUGGGUUAUGCUGGCAUGUUGCUUGUCUUUCAGCUGGAGGAUUCCUUUGAAUAUGAAAAUCACUCACCAAAGAAGGUUUGGCAUUAAAGUUUCAAAAAGAAACAAACAAAUGAAGUACUCAGGUCCUGGAGCUCAGCAGGACCCCAUCUAAAGUGACGGGAAGGACACUCCGCAUUGCUCAGCUUAGGAAGGAUUAUAAGCAUCAGGCUGAGAAAGUGAACGGCGAGGAGACGGGGAACCCAGCUUUCGGAUGGGCAGCGAGGCGGGCAGCCCUCCUGUGCCUGAGAGUGCCACCGGCACCUCGCCAGGCACUAAAGCCCCUCCUCGCCCACCAGAGGCAGAUCAGGACAAGAAGGUGCCUGCCCGGGGCAGAUGGAAGCAGAUUUUUCAGGACAAGAAGGUGCCUCCCGGCACAGCCUGGCCAUGCAGGGCUGGUUUGGGGUAAUCCUGUCGCAAGCCGCCGCAGAGACCGCUGAGGACGUAAGAGCAUUUGCUUGGGAGCUGGGUGGCAGAAGGUAAGAGCCAACCAACUGCAUGACGUUGUUGUCAUUACUUUUGUUGUUCUCGUUUCUCCAGGGCCAUCAACAGCAUAUCUUGUCUGCUUUAUUUAACUGCAGCUUCUGCACCUCUCCCUCAGGAAGAUGCAGCAGAGAGUCCCCGCUCUACACAGAAAAAAGCAGCAGCGACAAAGCUGACAGCAGAAUAAAUCUGUGAGUCUGUUGCAGACAUUGCUCGGCCUUUGACUACUGCUAUCCAAGAAAAAGCACAGCUUUUCUUUUUUCUUUUUUUUUUUUUUUAUACAAUUAUCAUCAUAUUAUGCCUUAAAAUUUAGUUCUGUGUAUGCUUUACAGGCUCUGCAGGAACCUGGAUCUUCAUGAGCAGAUCAAAGCCCAAUUUAAAGAUAUCAUCCAAAUAGGUAAAUGUGUCAGAAACAUUAUCAGGGUCACAUUUGGGCAACAGGGUUCACUCUGUUUUAAGUGCAAAUGGCUUGCUGAUGGUUUAGCUGAACUUCCUGAGGAGUGUUUGAAAUUCCUGGCACACGUUCGAUUUGCCAUCUGUUAGGAGGACUUUGAUGAGCCCACAAAGAGACAUUUGACCAGAGCUGCAUUUCAUAUCUCGUGUGGGCUCCUGUGACUGGCCAGCUUGUAUUUUCUAUGUUUGCAUUAUUCUGAUUCCCCGAGUGCUUGGAGGGAGUGGGGCUUGCAGGGGGCUGGGUACUGAGCUCUGGGGCAGAGAUGCACUGCUCGUUCUCCGCCAGUGCGCUGUCAUCAUCUUGUUCCAGCACUGCCUGUUCUUUAUGUCUGCUAACAUUAUUAUGUAUAGUCAAGUUAUGCCCUCAUUUAGACUGGAUCUGACAGUAAUUAAGUAAUUUGUACUGUCAGAGGGAACUUGAACUUGAGGGUAGCCUGGCUACAGAUGCUAAAAUCUUCCUCGCUUUUCUGAAGGCAUCCCCUGUUAAGCAUGUAAGUAGGUAAAUUGGUCUGGUCUCCUCUUUCAUCUCUUUCCUGAAGACAUAAAAAAAAUCUCUUUUAUGAAAAUGGUAUUAUAAUCUCUUGAAAAACACUGUCCAAUAAGGUUGAAUUCAACCUGAAUAUUUUUCCGAAACAGAAGAGACCAAUUGCAACCUGGUCAGAGGGCAGGGGAUGCAGUUUGGGCUGAAUGCAGACUGUGAGGAUUUUUGCAGGAGUGGGACCAGGGCUUUGCAGGAGAGCUGUUGAUGAGGCCUGAGGGGCAUUUUUCCUGCACGUGAAAGCAGUGGGAGCUCGUGCAUGUGUGCAGUGCCUCAGGAGAGAGCCAAGAGCAUUCAGCAAAUGUACCAAACCAUCGUAACCAUGCGCUGGGGUGAGUCGAACCCCCCCCCAAAAUACUCUGUGCCUCUGGUGGGAAUGUCUGCCACCAUCUUCUACCAGCACCACCAAGUGCCUUUCAACAUAUUAAAGACACGAUGGGAACUGGGCUCCCAGGGGAUCCAUCGGUCUGAUUUCUGUGGAUGCUCGUACCCUGGGUCUAUUUGGAGCAGAAUGAUUCAUUCGGCUGCUCGUUGCUUAGGGCUCUGUGUCACUUCCCACUGUAAGGCGAGGGGUCUUGUCUGCUAUCGUGGACUGGCUGGGGCUAAUUUUGGGAUCGAUUUAGCGUGGAAAAAAAUACUUUAUGCAGCAAGACAGCAGCUGAUUAAGCCUCUUCCACAUGGAUGCUGGUGUUCAGAUGCUCCCAGGCAGUGAGAGUUAUCCAGCGACAUCAGGCAGAUGUCCCAUGUCGUGUCCCAGCUGCACAGAGCGGCGACCUGUUGUGUCAGACCCUUGUCAAGGGGGACACGGGUGUUUGCUCUGCAUGGGCACAGGAAAGCCAUCUGGUUUGGGAUGGCUGAAGUUGAGGGGGACCAAUGCUCAGUGUUUGCAUUGUUACUUGUAGGAAAAAGCCCCACAGGACUGUAACAACCAGCAGGCCAGGAACUUCAGCAAAUGUCUCUAGGCUUCCCAGAAGAAGAGAUGUAAGAAAAGAUUCUCAUUCCCAAAAGGAGUUUUGGAACCGUGGAGUUAAAGGGAACAUCUCCAUCCCCAGUGUGGCAAGGUGAAAGGCACAGCAGCAGGGCCAGCGUGUCCAGCAUGACGCUGCUCCAACCACUUUGGGAGUCAUGGCCAAGGUGUGGGUCAAGCUGGGGCUCUGCAGAGUGACCCCCACAGCUCUUCUCUGCAGCUCCUUUCUGCUGAUAACUGCAAAUUGCACACUGGAAAGGUGUUUUGUUUUUUUUUCCCCUUUAAAUCUUGAAUCCAGCUGUAAAUAAUCCUGUCUAGUGAAGGGUAAGACUUUGGUUAAGAUAUAUUCCCAGAGCUUCUCGAGCCCAUGUGGGCAGUAGCCCUGCGUUCAGUGCAGACGGGAAGGUUGCAGGGCGCAGCUGGAUGAAUUAAUUGCCCCACAGAUGAGAUGCAUUUGCUGUGGUAUAAAUCAGCUGUCGCUUGUCAGGCAUGUUCCUGGCUUAUCAAUGGGAAGCAAAACAUUGCAGCGUAACAGCUCCAUGAAAGGCCGUGUCCUGGAGAGGCACAAUUGGUGGGAGCAUGGCCUGUGGAGGGGAUUACAAGAUAAGCAGGCUCUCCCACUUCUCCUAAAAGCCUGACAGCUACCAGCAGCUGGCAGGAGAAUUCCAGCCCUACAUGGGCUGUAAUAAGAAGACGAACCAACCAGAGAACAAGAAAUAUGACUCUGAUGGACCUUACAGAGCCUUUCUGGAAGCAGGAUCACAGUGGUCUUCUCCGAAUCCAGGGACGUGCACACGGGCGGAGGCAGCUUGCAGCCACCCCUUCAUUUCCUCUGAAAGUCCCUAAGGAAAUGCCAUCCCACAGCUGGGGUCCAGCACUGAGGAGAUGUCGCUCUAACCCCCAGGGCUGAUAAGGUAGGCAGCCGUCCGUGGCGUUACCUCCGCUGCCAACAGAGCCUCUUCCCACUUGAGGCUUUCACUUGGCACACAGCAUUAAGUGUUAGAUGUGGAAAGAACAAAGUGUGGGGGAGCUGCUGGUUUCAUCUCCUUGGUGGGACUCUUGGUGGUUCUUUUUUUUCGUAGUGAGAUCAGAUGUGGCACUUCCCUGAAAACAUGGCAGUCCACAGGAGAGUUCGUUAGUUUGUGGCAAGUUGCAGCACUGAGGAAGCCAGUGGAAAGCAAAUGUUAUUGCAAAGAGUUAUUGCUAAGGGAAGAGGAAAACAUGGUCCCAAGGAAAUAAACUUGAUGGAACAAAACGUGGAACAAUAUAAAGCUGUAGAGGACAGGCAAUAGGGUUGAAUACUUCCUCAGAGUGAAAGCCCCCAGUCAUCUGUUUUUAAUGGCAAUGAUUGCUCUCUGCCUGUUCAGUGAAUACAUGGGACACAUCUGUUUAGGUCCACCUCUAAUAGGACCAACAGAUAUCACGACUGCGGCUGGCUGAACUUUUUUUCACCACCAUUAUACAAAAAUGUCUUUGUGAUCAUCAUCCAAUAUUGAUAACAGCACCAAGAGCAAAAAUCAGUUUUGCCUUUUUUUAGAAAAGAGUGUGUUUUAAUUUCAAGUGCCAUGGGAUUAUAUCUCAAAAAGGACUUUCCCCUGAAAACAAACAAACAAGCAAAAAAACCCAAAAACACUAAAAUGUAGAUUUGAGCAGCUCUAAUGACGACCAGCCUGCCUCAAGUCUGAGAAAAGUUUAAGAAGCAAGGAGAAAGGAGAUGCCCACUUUCCUAAAUUUGACAGAGCUGUACACUGCCAACUUUCUUGGCCUUGAGUCUCCAUCCAAUUUGUACCAACAACCGAAAAAGCAGUAUCAGGCUUGGAGAAGUGUUAAGGUGGAUGAAUCACGCUCUUGCUGAGUCUCAUGCCAUUUAAAACAUUGCAGGGGACUUUGGUUUUGGAUUGUCAGGGUUUUCCUUGUGCUUUCCCCUUUAUUUACUGGAAAAUAUAUUGCUACAAAGUCAAAGCAAAACAAGGUGCUUCUUGAGAAGGAUUGCUGUAGCCAGCCCGACUGCUGUGGUGGGCAGAGCCCAUGUCCACGCACCACUGUGUGGCCUGGGAGAAGAGCCCUGUGCUUUAGCCUUGGGCUGUAAAGCCCCGCUCUGUGUAUGGAUGUAUCUGCUUGUGAGGCAGAGGGUGACUUCUUCUCCUCCCUUCCCUCAUCUUCUCACCCUCUGAGUUGUUGUGUGUUGCUGUUGGGGUGUAAUCCUGAUAGGCCUCCUGCCUGAGGACCAGGCUGGUGUUUUGGUGGCAGUGCAGCCCCUGGUUUUAGCUCUGGUGACCUUAGAAAUAAGAGCCCAACUUCUUGAACAAGCUGCUUGAGGAGCAUGGGAUAGGUCAGAGAAUUCUUGGGCAGAUCAAAAGCCAGAGAUGUUUUUCUGACAGCCCUGGGGCUCCCUGUCAUGAUUUAUGAAUUAUAUAUGUUCCACGUGUUUAGCCAAAGAGGCUCAGAGGGGGAACAGGGACUGUUUGUGCAAGCAGGAAAGGGUGUGUGGCUUCAGAGAGCCACCAUCCACCAAGAGGUACCAUCUCCACAUCUGCAGAGCCAUCACAGUGCAGAGGUGUUCAUUCAGCAGCCAUCACUGUGCUCCUCACCACAGAUCUAAGGUACGACCGCAGGUCCUGAGUGAACGUACUUGCUGAAAUUCCUGGGCAGAUGUUCUCCUUGGAGCUCUAGUGUAUCCCACUGGGCACAGCUCUCCUUUGGCGAGUGCUACGUGCCCUGGCAGGCUUCAAGUUUCAUGUCCUCCUUUGGAGGCUGGAUGCCCAAAGGCGAGCUGCUGCGCUCCUUGAGCUGUCGUCACAGUGGUGACGAGGGAGGCUUUCCAGAUUCUGAUGCAAAACAGGACAGGAAAACUCCUAAUUAAGAGGCCAGAGUGUUUCUGUGUGCGCAGUACAGUAAUCUCUGUAUCCAGUCUGUGACUUCUGGAUGGGUCGUAGUCCAUCUAGCAGAUAGUCUUGCAGUCAUCGAAGGCUUUGAGCAACAAAAACCCACCACAUCCUGAGUCUGAGUAAUUACCUGCUGGAACAACUUUGCUGUUUUGUGAUCUAACACAAAAGCACCCGGUUUCAGCUUCCAGCAUGUAAAUCUUGCUUUUCCUUUGUCUGAUAGAAGAGGAAGCCCUCUGCCAGAAAGCAUCUCUCUGGGAGUUUUUUGUGAGCGAUUACUACUAGCUCACCUCCCAGCUCCCUCCUGCAACAACUAAAGGCACUGAAAGCUUUCAGUCCCUACUGUAGGACAGAUUUUCCCAUCCUGAACGAUCUUUGUAUUAUUUUGUUGCGGGUCCCUCUGCUAGGUAAAUCCAGAGCCACUUGCUGGAGGUGACCGGGGGGAGUCAGGGAAAUCCAGCAGCUGAAAUUUCAGCGGUCAGGCUACAGCCCUUUUUUCCGUCAUGUAUGGACCAAAGUGGUCGGAGACACUGCUUGAUGACCGCUCAACCAUGCUG
Molecule: long non-coding RNA, 11326 nt
Organism: Cygnus olor (mute swan)
Lineage: Eukaryota; Metazoa; Chordata; Aves; Anseriformes; Anatidae
Exons: 2
Source: RefSeq, a predicted model, not a curated record